AAAAGGGAGAUUAGAAAGCUUGAACCUUUCUUAAGGAAUUGGUUCCCCCUUUUU
Molecule: transfer RNA, 54 nt
Filed under: Macrostomum lignano
Lineage: Eukaryota; Metazoa; Platyhelminthes; Macrostomidae
Description: tRNA-Ser
Source: RNAcentral